UUCUUCCAGUCCCAAGACAGAGGGAAGGACGAGAGGAGCGGGCGCACACCUGACCCAGGCCCGCCCCCCGACCUACCCAGCUGGGAGAAACCCUCCUGAUUAGCUAUGUUGUGAUUGGAUCCUUUAUCUGUUCGGAGAGACGUGAACUGUAACACAUCCUAUGGACCUGGAGCGAGACGAUCCUAAAAGAGGUCUUCCCGAGAGAAGUGACUCCGGACUUCUGCCCAUGUGUGGGCGACACAGGACAGGAAGCCUUGUCCUGAAUGAUGGCCAGACACACUUGCCCAAACUGGAGUCGUCUUCCUCUGAGCUUCCUCUGCGUUUUUCCCGCUCUGGAGGCAUGAGUCCUUUUGCCUCACCCUGAACCGGGCGGAGGCUGCUGAUGGUCCGCAGUCCACCAGGGGGCGAGCAGGACGCGAGAGCGCCGCCUCGUGGGAAAAGGGUGCGUCCACCCAUAGACCCUGCUUAGGUGAUGGAGAGGGCUCAAAAGAGGCAUACCAAUUGAUAACAAUAAAGUCUCUCAAGACACCA
This is a long non-coding RNA of Nannospalax galili (Upper Galilee mountains blind mole rat), 531 nucleotides long. RefSeq lists it as uncharacterized. NCBI's taxonomy places the organism in Eukaryota, Metazoa, Chordata, Mammalia, Rodentia, Spalacidae. The record is from RefSeq and is a predicted model, not a curated record. The transcript has 2 exons.